UGCCUGGCGGCACUAGCGCGGUGGUCCCACCUGACCCCAUGCCGAACUCAGAAGUGAAACGCCGUAGCGCCGAUGGUAGUGUGGGGUCUCCCCACGCGAGAGUAGGGAACUGCCAGGCAU
RNAcentral lists this ribosomal RNA (120 nucleotides) under Salmonella enterica subsp. enterica serovar Paratyphi C str. RKS4594. Lineage: Bacteria; Pseudomonadati; Pseudomonadota; Gammaproteobacteria; Enterobacterales; Enterobacteriaceae. The record is from RNAcentral.